CCCUUAGAUGUUCUGGGCCGCACGCGUGCUACACUGAGUGGAUCAGCGGGUCAGGUUGCGCGAAAGCGUUUCCUAAUCUUUAAAUCCGCUCGUGAUGGGGAUUGACGGUUGCAAUUUUCUGUCAUGAACGAGGAAUACCUUGUAAGCGCGGGUCAUCAUCCCGCGCUGAAUACGUCCCUGCCCUUUGUACACACCGCCCGUCGCUACUACCGAUUGAAUGGUUUAGUGAGGACUCCUGAUUGGCGCCGCCGCCCCGGCAACGGAGCAGCGGACUGCCGAAAAGUUGUUCAAACUUGAUCAUUUAGAGGAAGUAAAAGUCGUAACA
This 325-nucleotide ribosomal RNA is filed under the name uncultured eukaryote. RNAcentral's name for it is "partial 18S ribosomal RNA". It matches the Rfam family "Eukaryotic small subunit ribosomal RNA", at positions 1470 to 1796 of the family's 1831-position model. The record is from RNAcentral.